UACGAAGGGGGCUAGCGUUGCUCGGAAUCACUGGGCGUAAAGGGUGCGUAGGCGGGUCUUUAAGUCAGGGGUGAAAUCCUGGAGCUCAACUCCAGAACUGCCUUUGAUACUGAAGAUCUUGAGUUCGGGAGAGGUGUGUGGAACUGCGAGUGUAGAGGUGAAAUUCGUAGAUAUUCGCAAGAACACCAGUGGCGAAGGCGGCUCACUGGCCCGAUACUGACGCUGAGGCAUGAAAGCGUGGGGAGCAAACAGG
RNAcentral lists this ribosomal RNA (253 nucleotides) under uncultured bacterium. RNAcentral's name for it is "partial 16S ribosomal RNA". It matches the Rfam family "Bacterial small subunit ribosomal RNA", at positions 524 to 776 of the family's 1533-position model. The record is from RNAcentral.